CGGGAUGUAGCGCAGUUUGGUAGCGCAUCUGUUUUGGGAACAGAAUGUCGUGUGUUCAAAUCCCACCAUCCCGA
RNAcentral lists this transfer RNA (74 nucleotides) under Vischeria stellata. Its description in RNAcentral is "tRNA-Pro". It matches the Rfam family "tRNA". From Rfam's summary of the family: Transfer RNA (tRNA) molecules are approximately 80 nucleotides in length. The record is from RNAcentral. Lineage: Eukaryota; Eustigmatophyceae; Eustigmatales; Chlorobotryaceae.